CAGUCGAGCGGACAGAUGGGAGCUUGCUCCCUGAUGUUAGCGGCGGACGGGUGAGUAACACGUGGGUAACCUGCCUGUAAGACUGGGAUAACUCCGGGAAACCGGGGCUAAUACCGGAUGGUUGUUUGAACCGCAUGGUUCAGACAUAAAAGGUGGCUUCGGCUACCACUUACAGAUGGACCCGCGGCGCAUUAGCUAGUUGGUGAGGUAACGGCUCACCAAGGCGACGAUGCGUAGCCGACCUGAGAGGGUGAUCGGCCACACUGGGACUGAGACACGGCCCAGACUCCUACGGGAGGCAGCAGUAGGGAAUCUUCCGCAAUGGACGAAAGUCUGACGGAGCAACGCCGCGUGAGUGAUGAAGGUUUUCGGAUCGUAAAGCUCUGUUGUUAGGGAAGAACAAGUGCCGUUCAAAUAGGGCGGCACCUUGACGGUACCUAACCAGAAAGCCACGGCUAACUACGUGCCAGCAGCCGCGGUAAUACGUAGGUGGCAAGCGUUGUCCGGAAUUAUUGGGCGUAAAGGGCUCGCAGGCGGUUUCUUAAGUCUGAUGUGAAAGCCCCCGGCUCAACCGGGGAGGGUCAUUGGAAACUGGGGAACUUGAGUGCAGAAGAGGAGAGUGGAAUUCCACGUGUAGCGGUGAAAUGCGUAGAGAUGUGGAGGAACACCAGUGGCGAAGGCGACUCUCUGGUCUGUAACUGACGCUGAGGAGCGAAAGCGUGGGGAGCGAACAGGAUUAGAUACCCUGGUAGUCCACGCCGUAAACGAUGAGUGCUAAGUGUUAGGGGGUUUCCGCCCCUUAGUGCUGCAGCUAACGCAUUAAGCACUCCGCCUGGGGAGUACGGUCGCAAGACUGAAACUCAAAGGAAUUGACGGGGGCCCGCACAAGCGGUGGAGCAUGUGGUUUUAAUUCGAAGCAACGCGAAAGAACCUUACCAGGUCUUGACAUCCUCUGACAAUCCUAGAGAUAGGACGUCCCCCUUCGGGGGCAGAGUGACCAGUUGAUGCAUGGGUUGUCGUCAGCCUCAUGUCCUGAACAUGUUCGGGUUUAAGUCCCGCCACCGAUCCCCAACCCCUUG
This 1079-nucleotide ribosomal RNA is filed under the name Bacillus velezensis. RNAcentral describes it as "bacterial SSU rRNA". It matches the Rfam family "Bacterial small subunit ribosomal RNA", at positions 59 to 1108 of the family's 1533-position model. The record is from RNAcentral. Lineage: Bacteria; Bacillati; Bacillota; Bacilli; Caryophanales; Bacillaceae.